CCGAGUUUACAACUCCCAAACCCAAUGUGAACGUUACCAAACUGUUGCCUCGGCGGGGUCACGCCCCGGGUGCGUAAAAGCCCCGGAACCAGGCGCCCGCCGGAGGAACCAACCAAACUCUCUCUGUAGUCCCCUCGCGGACGUAUUUCUUACAGCUCUGAGCAAAAAAUUCAAAACGAAUCA
This 183-nucleotide unclassified non-coding RNA is filed under the name soil metagenome. RNAcentral describes it as "partial internal transcribed spacer 1". The record is from RNAcentral.